RNAcentral lists this ribosomal RNA (195 nucleotides) under uncultured bacterium. RNAcentral describes it as "partial 16S ribosomal RNA". It matches the Rfam family "Bacterial small subunit ribosomal RNA", at positions 338 to 524 of the family's 1533-position model. The record is from RNAcentral.
CCUACGGGAGACAGCAGUUAGGAAUAUUCGUCAAUGGGGGAAACCCUGAACGAGCAAUGCCGCGUGAGUGAUGACGGUCUUAUAGAUUGUAAAACUCUGUUGUAAGAGAAGAAACCCUACUAUAGGUAAUGAUAGUAGGUUGACGGUAUCUUACCAGAAAGCCCCGGCUAACUACGUGCCAGCAGCCGCGGUAAU